This 2250-nucleotide ribosomal RNA is filed under the name Salmonella enterica. RNAcentral's name for it is "partial 23S ribosomal RNA". It matches the Rfam family "Bacterial large subunit ribosomal RNA", at positions 711 to 2925 of the family's 2925-position model. The record is from RNAcentral. Lineage: Bacteria; Pseudomonadati; Pseudomonadota; Gammaproteobacteria; Enterobacterales; Enterobacteriaceae.
AGACCCGAAACCCGGUGAUCUAGCCAUGGGCAGGUUGAAGGUUGGGUAACACUAACUGGAGGACCGAACCGACUAAUGUUGAAAAAUUAGCGGAUGACCUGUGGCUGGGGGUGAAAGGCCAAUCAAACCGGGAGAUAGCUGGUUCUCCCCGAAAGCUAUUUAGGUAGCGCCUCGUGAAUUCAUCUCCGGGGGUAGAGCACUGUUUCGGCUAGGGGGCCAUCCCGGCUUACCAACCCGAUGCAAACUGCGAAUACCGGAGAAUGUUAUCACGGGAGACACACGGCGGGUGCUAACGUCCGUCGUGAAGAGGGAAACAACCCAGACCGCCAGCUAAGGUCCCAAAGUCAUGGUUAAGUGGGAAACGAUGUGGGAAGGCCCAGACAGCCAGGAUGUUGGCUUAGAAGCAGCCAUCAUUUAAAGAAAGCGUAAUAGCUCACUGGUCGAGUCGGCCUGCGCGGAAGAUGUAACGGGGCUAAACCAUGCACCGAAGCUGCGGCAGCGACACUGUGUGUUGUUGGGUAGGGGAGCGUUCUGUAAGCCUGUGAAGGUGUGUCGUGAGGCAUGCUGGAGGUAUCAGAAGUGCGAAUGCUGACAUAAGUAACGAUAAAGCGGGUGAAAAGCCCGCUCGCCGGAAGACCAAGGGUUCCUGUCCAACGUUAAUCGGGGCAGGGUGAGUCGACCCCUAAGGCGAGGCCGAAAGGCGUAGUCGAUGGGAAACGGGUUAAUAUUCCCGUACUUGGUGUUACUGCGAAGGGGGGACGGAGAAGGCUAUGUUGGCCGGGCGACGGUUGUCCCGGUUUAAGCGUGUAGGUGUGUGUUCCAGGUAAAUCCGGUUCACUUUAACACUGAGGCGUGACGACGAGGCACUACGGUGCUGAAGCAACAAAUGCCCUGCUUCCAGGAAAAGCCUCUAAGCAUCAGGUAACAUCAAAUCGUACCCCAAACCGACACAGGUGGUCAGGUAGAGAAUACCAAGGCGCUUGAGAGAACUCGGGUGAAGGAACUAGGCAAAAUGGUGCCGUAACUUCGGGAGAAGGCACGCUGACACGUAGGUGAAGUGAUUUACUCAUGGAGCUGAAGUCAGUCGAAGAUACCAGCUGGCUGCAACUGUUUAUUAAAAACACAGCACUGUGCAAACACGAAAGUGGACGUAUACGGUGUGACGCCUGCCCGGUGCCGGAAGGUUAAUUGAUGGGGUCAGCGCAAGCGAAGCUCCUGAUCGAAGCCCCGGUAAACGGCGGCCGUAACUAUAACGGUCCUAAGGUAGCGAAAUUCCUUGUCGGGUAAGUUCCGACCUGCACGAAUGGCGUAAUGAUGGCCAGGCUGUCUCCACCCGAGACUCAGUGAAAUUGAACUCGCUGUGAAGAUGCAGUGUACCCGCGGCAAGACGGAAAGACCCCGUGAACCUUUACUAUAGCUUGACACUGAACAUUGAGCCUUGAUGUGUAGGAUAGGUGGGAGGCUUUGAAGUGUGGACGCCAGUCUGCAUGGAGCCGACCUUGAAAUACCACCCUUUAAUGUUUGAUGUUCUAACGUGGACCCGUGAUCCGGGUUGCGGACAGUGUCUGGUGGGUAGUUUGACUGGGGCGGUCUCCUCCUAAAGAGUAACGGAGGAGCACGAAGGUUGGCUAAUCCUGGUCGGACAUCAGGAGGUUAGUGCAAUGGCAUAAGCCAGCUUGACUGCGAGCGUGACGGCGCGAGCAGGUGCGAAAGCAGGUCAUAGUGAUCCGGUGGUUCUGAAUGGAAGGGCCAUCGCUCAACGGAUAAAAGGUACUCCGGGGAUAACAGGCUGAUACCGCCCAAGAGUUCAUAUCGACGGCGGUGUUUGGCACCUCGAUGUCGGCUCAUCACAUCCUGGGGCUGAAGUAGGUCCCAAGGGUAUGGCUGUUCGCCAUUUAAAGUGGUACGCGAGCUGGGUUUAGAACGUCGUGAGACAGUUCGGUCCCUAUCUGCCGUGGGCGCUGGAGAACUGAGGGGGGCUGCUCCUAGUACGAGAGGACCGGAGUGGACGCAUCACUGGUGUUCGGGUUGUCAUGCCAAUGGCACUGCCCGGUAGCUAAAUGCGGAAGAGAUAAGUGCUGAAAGCAUCUAAGCACGAAACUUGCCCCGAGAUGAGUUCUCCCUGAGACUUAAAGUCUCCUGAAGGAACGUUGAAGACGACGACGUUGAUAGGCCGGGUGUGUAAGCGCAGCGAUGCGUUGAGCUAACCGGUACUAAUGAACCGUGAGGCUUAACCUUACAACGCCGAAG